AGAGUUUGAUCAUGGCUCAGGACGAACGCUGGCGGCGUGCCUAAUACAUGCAAGUCGAGCGAAUCAUCAGGAGCUUGCUCCUGUUGGUUAGCGGCGGACGGGUGAGUAACACGUGGGCAACCUGCCUGUAAGACUGGGAUAACACCGGGAAACCGGUGCUAAUACCGGAUAAUCUUUUUCCUCUCAUGAGGAAAAACUGAAAGACGGUUUCGGCUGUCACUUACAGAUGGGCCCGCGGCGCAUUAGCUAGUUGGUGAGGUAACGGCUCACCAAGGCGACGAUGCGUAGCCGACCUGAGAGGGUGAUCGGCCACACUGGGACUGAGACACGGCCCAGACUCCUACGGGAGGCAGCAGUAGGGAAUCUUCCACAAUGGACGAAAGUCUGAUGGAGCAACGCCGCGUGAGCGAUGAAGGCCUUCGGGUCGUAAAGCUCUGUUGUUAGGGAAGAACAAGUACCGGAGUAACUGCCGGUACCUUGACGGUACCUAACCAGAAAGCCACGGCUAACUACGUGCCAGCCGCCGCGGUAAUAC
This 535-nucleotide ribosomal RNA is filed under the name uncultured bacterium. RNAcentral's name for it is "bacterial SSU rRNA". It matches the Rfam family "Bacterial small subunit ribosomal RNA", at positions 8 to 526 of the family's 1533-position model. The record is from RNAcentral.